GGCUUCACAGCUCAGUUGGUUAGAGCAUCGCACUGGUAUCGCGAGCUCACGGGUUCAAACCCCGUUGAAGUCC
Molecule: transfer RNA, 73 nt
Filed under: Acropora cervicornis
Lineage: Eukaryota; Metazoa; Cnidaria; Anthozoa; Scleractinia; Acroporidae
Description: tRNA-Thr
Rfam family: tRNA
About the family: Transfer RNA (tRNA) molecules are approximately 80 nucleotides in length. Their secondary structure includes four short double-helical elements and three loops (D, anti-codon, and T loops).
Source: RNAcentral